Molecule: ribosomal RNA, 497 nt
Filed under: uncultured bacterium
Lineage: Bacteria
Description: partial 16S ribosomal RNA
Rfam family: Bacterial small subunit ribosomal RNA
Source: RNAcentral
GAUGAACGCUGGCGGCGUGCCUAAUACAUGCAAGUCGAGCGAACGGACGAGAAGCUUGCUUCUCUGAUGUUAGCGGCGGACGGGUGAGUAACACGUGGAUAACCUACCUAUAAGACUGGGAUAACUUCGGGAAACCGGAGCUAAUACCGGAUAAUAUUUUGAACCGCAUGGUUCAAAAGUGAAAGACGGUCUUGCUGUCACUUAUAGAUGGAUCCGCGCUGCAUUAGCUAGUUGGUAAGGUCACGGCUUACCAAGGCAACGAUGCAUAGCCGACCUGAGAGGGUGAUCGGCCACACUGGAACUGAGACACGGUCCAGACUCCUACGGGAGGCAGCAGUAGGGAAUCUUCCGCAAUGGGCGAAAGCCUGACGGAGCAACGCCGCGUGAGUGAUGAAGGUCUUCGGAUCGUAAAACUCUGUUAUUAGGGAAGAACAUAUGUGUAAGUAACUGUGCACAUCUUGACGGUACCUAAUCAGAAAGCCACGGCUAACUACGUG